This is a non-coding RNA of Potamilus streckersoni, 67 nucleotides long. Lineage: Eukaryota; Metazoa; Mollusca; Bivalvia; Unionida; Unionidae. The record is from the annotation of a GenBank genome assembly.
GGGGCCUAGUAGUUAGAGCGUCCGCUUUGGAUGCGGGAGGUUGAGGGUUUGAUCCCCGGCUUAGUCA